UACGUAGGGGGCAAGCGUUGUCCGGAAUUAUUGGGCGUAAAGAGCGUGUAGGCGGUCCGGUAAGUCGGAUGUGAAAGCCCCAGGCUCAACCUGGGAAGUGCACUCGAUACUGCGUAGCUUGAGUAUCGGAGAGGUUGGUGGAAUUCUCGGUGUAGAGGUGAAAUUCGUAGAUAUCGAGAGGAACACCGGUGGCGAAGGCGGCCAACUGGACGAAUACUGACGCUGAGACACGAAAGCGUGGGGGAGCAAACAGG
This 254-nucleotide ribosomal RNA is filed under the name uncultured bacterium. RNAcentral's name for it is "partial 16S ribosomal RNA". It matches the Rfam family "Bacterial small subunit ribosomal RNA", at positions 524 to 776 of the family's 1533-position model. The record is from RNAcentral.